Molecule: long non-coding RNA, 733 nt
Organism: Pomacea canaliculata
Lineage: Eukaryota; Metazoa; Mollusca; Gastropoda; Architaenioglossa; Ampullariidae
Exons: 4
Source: RefSeq, a predicted model, not a curated record
CGUUUUCAUUCUUUAUUUCAUUCAUUUAUUUGUUUGUUUUUUUCUGUCUUCUACCAUCGUUUUUUUAUUUUUCUUUUCUUUCCAUAAUCGUUGAAAGUUGGCAGCCGGUGAGUAUUAACAAUCACUAUAUCUAUCAGCUUUACUGUAUAUAAAUAACCUCUCCACACUGUUGUUUACUCAUUGUUUACGUCGUUUGUCGCCACCACGCUGACGUGUCUAUGACGUAAUAAUGAAUAUGACGUCCAUUCAAAGCUAUUUUAAGCCCGCGUUAAUGCCACAUAAAACAUGGCGGACAAGCUGAUUACUUCUGCAGAAACUACUCUUCGCCAUCAGCUGUAGAUAUCGUGAGCUUGAAAAAAAGGUCCUGGAGGUGGAAGAAAUAACUGCAGAUGUUGGCAUACGUAGUGCAUGGAACCAUAACCUCUGAUGUCUCGCAAGCUAUUUUUCGCCCCCUGCCAUCGAGUCUACUGGCAGUUCGUCAACUCACGUGCUUAUCUCCAGUUUCCGCGUGCCUGCCACGUGUACGUCUGCUCGUCUGUAUUGCAUUCUUGGCUCCUACUCCAGGGCUGAGGACCGACUUCGUCGAAAGAGAUAUUCUAAUCCGUAAACAGGAAAAGUUGAAUUAAGCAAUUUGCACAGCGAGUUGGCUUGGUGGUUAACGGGACAAAGACCAGACCUCCGCCAGAUCUCAACGGUCCAUCUGACACAAGCUUUUCCUCCGUCAAGACCUGGG